RNAcentral lists this long non-coding RNA (421 nucleotides) under Homo sapiens (human). RNAcentral's name for it is "non-protein coding lnc-PTOV1-1:2". Lineage: Eukaryota; Metazoa; Chordata; Mammalia; Primates; Hominidae. The record is from RNAcentral.
UUUAUAUUUUGCACAGGACAGGACAUCUAGAGGGGGCCAGCUAUUGGGAUUGGUUUCAUAGGUCUGUGACAUCAGGGACAGGGCCCUGUGGUUCUCUUGGCCUCUCCUUUAUAGUCACAAGGUAGCUCUCAUGGCUCCACGCAUCCUGUGUGCUUUCAUGAAGGAGGGGAAGGGGGCUGUGUGUUUCCCUUUCUUCAAGACAGCAGAAACUUUCUCAGAUUCCAGAGCAGGCAUUCCUUUCACCUCCUAUCCCGGACCUAGGCCACUGGGCAGCCCCUAGUUGAUGGGAGGCUGCUGGGAGCAGGUAUCCGUGACUGUCUGGGGCUGGGACAUGUUACAGCCCCAGACAGCAUUGGGAAUGCAGGGGAGGAGGACACUUGGAUAUGGAAUAGGCAGCUAGCAGGGUCUGUCUCAGGCAGGA